Molecule: unclassified non-coding RNA, 852 nt
Filed under: Centruroides sculpturatus (bark scorpion)
Lineage: Eukaryota; Metazoa; Arthropoda; Arachnida; Scorpiones; Buthidae
Description: down syndrome cell adhesion molecule-like protein Dscam2, transcript variant X2
Source: RNAcentral
AUGCAUACGAAUGGAUCGUUGUGAUAGAAAAUGUUGAUUUCAGAGAUGAAAGUUUGCGUAAUAGUAACAAUAAGUAAGUUAAAUUAUGCUUCAAAUGCCAAAAUGGCGUUACUGUUUCCAGUAAUCUCUUUUGUGUUCUUUGAUCAACUGUUACAAAGCCUGUCAGAACAAUUACCACAAAUACAACCGAUAACAUUUCCUAAACAAGUUAUUCUUGGUCAGAAAAUUAGUACUGUGUGUUCUGCUAUCUCUGGAAAUUCGCCUUUAACGUUUUCCUGGUUAAAAGACGGACGAGAAAUUAACGAUAAUGAUGAGAUAUCGAUUCAAUCGUUCAAAGAUUAUUCGGUAUUAUUUAUUGAAAAAGUAAAAGUUCAGUCUGCAGGAAAUUACACUUGUGUGCUUUCGACUUCGGCUGGUGUAGACAAAUAUACAGCGACUUUAGAAGUUCAAGCACCUUCAGCAUGGAUAAAGCAACCGAAGGAUGCCGAUGUAAUUGUAGGUAGUAUUCUGGUUUUAGAAUGCGAAGCUACAGGCUUACCCUUGCCAACCAUUACUUGGACCAAAGGGCAUUUCCUGAUCAAAAAGAACCAAAGCUUGGGAAAAAUGAAUUAGUUUUAGAAAGCAUCAGAGAUGUAGACGAAGGAGAAUAUGUUUGCGAAGCAAAAAAUGGAAUAGGUGAUGCUUUGAUCCAAAAAGUAACCGUAAACGUUCGGGGUGACUUUGUGUGAAGUGAGUAGGUUGGCUUUGUGUGAUGUAUGUAAUCUUUACUGCGUGGAUAGCUGUGCCAUUGGUUUAUAAAUUGUCGGCUUUAAAGUAUACUUAUUAAAUCAACAGCGAAAAAUGAAGAAGUUC